This 70-nucleotide transfer RNA is filed under the name Podarcis lilfordi (Lilford's wall lizard). RNAcentral describes it as "tRNA.Glu". The record is from RNAcentral. Lineage: Eukaryota; Metazoa; Chordata; Lepidosauria; Squamata; Lacertidae.
GCAAUACAUCAGUCAGUGGAGCAUGAGACUCUCAAUCUCAGGGUCGUGGGUUUGAGCCCCACAUUGGACA